ACAAGCGUGGAUGAUGUGGAUUAAUUCGAUGCAACGCGAAGAACUUACCUACCCUUGACAUGUCCGGAACUUGCCAGAGAUGGCUUGGGUGCCCGAAAGGGAAUCGGAACACAGGUGCUGCAUGGCUGUCGUCAGCUCGUGUCGUGAGAUCGUUGGGUUAAGUCCCGCAACGAGCGCAACCCUUAUCCCCAGUUGCCAUCAGGUAAAGCUGGGAACUCUGGGGAGACUGCCGGUGAUAAACCGGAGGAAGGCGGGGAUGACGUCAAGUCCUCAUGGCCCUUACAUCCCGGGCUACACACGUGCUACAAUGGCAGGUACAGAGGGCUGCGAAGCCGCGAGGUGGAGCGAAUCCCAGAAAACCUGUCUCAGUCCGGAUUGAAGUCUGCAACUCGACUUCAUGAAGGCGGAAUCGCUAGUAACCGCGAAUCAGCAGGUCGCGGUGAAUACGUUCCCGGGCCUU
RNAcentral lists this ribosomal RNA (460 nucleotides) under uncultured Latescibacterota bacterium. RNAcentral describes it as "bacterial SSU rRNA". It matches the Rfam family "Bacterial small subunit ribosomal RNA", at positions 925 to 1382 of the family's 1533-position model. The record is from RNAcentral. Lineage: Bacteria; Pseudomonadati; Candidatus Latescibacterota.